AUCUGCAAUCUUCAAGUGUUUUGCAGCUCAAUCAUCUGGACCCCUGGCGGGCACCACACUGACACUUUAAACCCUGUAAAUGGCAGCAGUGCUGGGAGGCACCAGGAGAAAAGUCAAGUGCUUCAGGACAGAGCAGCUUGCUAAGUGGACACAGCAUGUGCAAGCAGCCAGCCCCACAUUUGCGUUUCGCUUGGGCUCUCCAGAUGUUCCCAGACUUCUCUCUGCCACUUCUUGCUUAGAGCCACCCUUUUGGUGUCUGACCUCUCAGCAAUCUCACCUUAGCAAACAGGGAGUGAAUCCACUUUUGGAUCCCAAUCACCACAGCAUCCUUCAGGGCACAGAAAAGUCUCCAGGUUGGAUUCCCAUGGACGAAGCCAUUUGCCUGCCUUGGGCUGGGCUGGAUGCUGCCUGCAGAAUGAGCUGCAGCACCUUUGUGCCUCCACAGCACUGAUGCUCGCAGGCAUGCAAAGCAAUAUGGACCUCUGUGGCUGCAAAAUGAGCUGAGUGUCAAAAGCCUGAUCCCCUCCCAGAAAAGCUUCUCCUGCAAGACCUUCUCUUGUCCCACACUGAGUUGAAAGAUGCAUCAAAUACUCU
Gymnogyps californianus (California condor) is the source of this 594-nucleotide long non-coding RNA. RefSeq lists it as uncharacterized. The transcript is spliced from 3 exons. The record is from RefSeq and is a predicted model, not a curated record. NCBI's taxonomy places the organism in Eukaryota, Metazoa, Chordata, Aves, Accipitriformes, Cathartidae.